UUACUAGAGUAGCACUCGCAUAUCAAUAAGCGGAGGAAAAGAAACUAACAAGGAUUCCCCUAGUAACGGCGAGUGAAGCGGGAAGAGCUCAAAUUUGAAAUCUUAAAGGGUUUCCCUUUACGAAUUGUAGUUUAAAGAAGUGUUUUCUGUUGAGGUUUUGGUAAAAGUUCUUUGGAAUAGGACAUCAUAGAGGGUGAGAAUCCCGUAUUUGACCUUUACUUUCAACUUUGUGAUACACUUUCAAAGAGUCGGAUUGUUUGGGAAUGCAGUCCAAAAUGGGUGGUAAAUUUCAUCUAAAGCUAAAUAUUGGCGAGAGACCGAUAGCGAACAAGUACCGUGAGGGAAAGAUGAAAAGAACUUUGAAAAGAGAGUUAAACAGUACGUGAAAUUGUCAAAAGGGAAGCGUUUGACACCAGUGUUGUUUUUCUGAAAAUCAAUUAAAGAACUGUUUAUGCUAAGCUGUUUAGACUUUAUCAGCUAUACUGUUUAGUUUUGAGCUUUUCUUUAAUGCACUUUUCAGUUAACAAGUCAACAUCAAUUUCUUUUGCUGUAAAAAAGCUUGAGGAAGGUGGCUUGAGAUUCGUCUUAAGUGUUUAUAGCCUCUUGCCUAUGCAGUCGGAGAGAUUGAGGUCUGCAGCGUAGAUCCUUCGGGGCUAAAUGCAUUUGUGCUAAGUUAUAGCAUUUUGUAGACAACUUGUUGACUAUGAUUUGUCUUGUAGCUUACUCGCUUAUGUUAUUUUACCUACGCUUAGGAUGUUGAGCGCAUGUCUCUCUCU
Molecule: ribosomal RNA, 776 nt
Filed under: uncultured Neocallimastigales
Lineage: Eukaryota; Fungi; Neocallimastigomycota; Neocallimastigomycetes; Neocallimastigales
Description: partial large subunit ribosomal RNA
Rfam family: Eukaryotic large subunit ribosomal RNA
Source: RNAcentral